GAACCACAGAGUUUCGAAACCAUCUUUGACUGAACUGUGUUCUUGCUCUACAUAGACAUUUGAUUAUCGUACAAAUACUGUAAUUAAUUUGCCAUUCAAGCUGUAUUAUGUUGCCCCUGAAGGAGAAAGAUAGACCAAUAGUGAAGAAGCUGCUGGAAGCUGGAUGCUGUGCCCGCUGUGUCCUGAGGUUCUGCUGCUUGGGGGUGCAGUCAGCCUACCGCCAGUCUUAUGAGGAUACAGCAAAGGAGCUUUGUGCUUUCAUCAGUGAUUCAGAGAAUAACAAAUCCCAAGAUGCAGCCGUGCUGGAGCAGCACACAGAAGACCCCCCUCGUAAAAAAAUUAAGAUGGAUGCGGCGGAGACGGGCGUCCAAUCAGAAGGCGACUCUGCCGUGGUUCCCGCGGUGAUGGAGGAAGGCGACGCCAAGCCAGCGGACUCGGACGUGUGUGCGGUGUGCCUGGGAGUUCUACAGGAGUUCUGUGAUGAAGCCUAUGCCAUAAAGAUAUCGGAUGUGGUGAAGGUCAAAAACUACCAGUUUGACACGAUGGUACUGUCCGUCUCCCUGACGGCCCAGCUGUCUGUCAGAGAGCACUCUUGUUGGCUGCAUGUAAAGAAGGAAGUGAGGGAGAAGUCUAUAUGCCUCGAUAAGGAUGAUGUCAUCCAGGUGAAGGAGGCCUUCAAGUGGACCAUGCAGGGUCUGAUGUCCAAAGAGCUUGGUGGCGUACCUGUGGUGACCAAGAUCAGUCGUCAAACUGAACAGUUUGAGGUGGGCGUGGGGUUCACACAUCCAGAGACGGACUCAGACUGCCACUUCCUGGCUGGCAUCUGUUCAGACUGCUUCAGACCAAGUAAGAACAAACAGAAUGUCUUCACUAGAAUGGCCGUGGUCAAAGCCCUCGAGAAGGUUUCCGAUGAGAAGUUUCUAAAAAAGUUCCCCUGUCCCCCUACACGGCCAGCGAGGAAAUGCAUUGCUCAAGAGGUCCAGUGUCUUCACGUUUCUGUAUUUGUGGCGGGGAGGUACAACAAGUUCUCCCGCACCCUGCCCCAGACCCCCUGGGUGAUUGACGGAGAGAGGAGGAUGGAGUCGUCGGUGGAGGAGCUAAUCGCCGCAUCCCUCUUCUCCUCUUUCCGGGCUGAGGGGUUUAAUUUCUCCUCCUCAGGGAGGGAGGAGGUGGAUGUGCGGACGCUUGGAAAUGGUCGUCCGUUUGCACUGGAGCUGCUAAAUCCUCACAGAGCCAGGUUCAAUAAGGCAGAGGUCCGACAGCUGCAGGAGACCAUCAACCAGUCCUCAGACAAAAUCAGAGUACGAGAUCUACAGAUUGUAAGCAGAGAUGCUAUGGGCCACAUGAAGGAGGGUGAGGAGGACAAGACCAAGUCGUACACCGCCCUCAUAUGGACCCAGAAAGCCAUCAACAAAGACGACAUCACGUUCUUAGAGGAAACCAAGGAGUUGAAGCUAGCUCAGAAGACGCCACUAAGAGUGUAGCAUCGCAGGCCGCUGGCCGUCAGGGAGCGCGUCAUCCACACCAUGAGUACAUGCUUCCUGGACACGCAUCACUUCCACCUGAAGCUGCGCACGCAGGCAGGGACUUACAUCAAGGAGUUUGUCCACGGAGACUUUGGUCGCACCAAGCCCAAUCUGUGUGAUCUGCUGAAGACUGAGACGGAUAUCCUAGAGCUGGACGUUGAUUCUGUAGAUGUGGACUGGCCACCCUCCAUCCCGGAGUGAGCCUCGUCUCACUGAUGCUGUUGAGGAUGCCAAAAGGAGUCCUAGUUCUUUCUGAUGGGCCAUACCGUCACCUAUUGGGCUCCGUUCCACUGAUGUCUAGAUGAUAUGGAUAG
RNA transcript from Oncorhynchus kisutch (coho salmon), 1840 nucleotides. It is a transcript of the gene named putative tRNA pseudouridine synthase Pus10, with no coding region annotated. The record is from RefSeq and is a predicted model, not a curated record. NCBI's taxonomy places the organism in Eukaryota, Metazoa, Chordata, Actinopteri, Salmoniformes, Salmonidae. The transcript is spliced from 18 exons.